UCUCAAGGUUGACCUCGGAUCAGGUAGGAAUACCCGCUGAACUUAAGCAUAUCAAUAAGCGGAGGAAAAGAAACCAACAGGGAUUGCCCCAGUAACGGCGAGUGAAGCGGCAACAGCUCAAAUUUGAAAUCUGGCGCAAGCCCGAGUUGUAAUUUGCAGAGGAUGCUUUUGGCGCGGUGCUUUCUGAGUUCCCUGGAACGGGACGCCGGAGAGGGUGAGAGCCCCGUACAGUUGGACACCAAGCCUUUGUAAAGCUCCUUCGACGAGUCGAGUAGUUUGGGAAUGCUGCUCAAAAUGGGAGGUAAAUGCCUUCUAAAGCUAAAUACCGGCCAGAGACCGAUAGCGCACAAGUAGAGUGAUCGAAAGAUGAAAAGCACUUUGAAAAGAGGGUUAAACAGUACGUGAAAUUGUUGAAAGGGAAGCGCUCGUGACCAGACUUGCGCCCGGCGGAUCAUCCGGCCUUCUGGCCGGUGCACUCCGCCGGGCUCAGGCCAGCAUCGGUUCUUCCGGGGGGACAAAAGCGGCGGGAACGUAGCUCUUCCGGGAGUGUUAUAGCCCGCCGCAGAAUACCCUCGGGGGGACCGAGGACCGCGCUUCGGCAAGGAUGCUGGCGUAAUGGUCACCAGCGACCCGUCUUGAAACACGGACCAAGGAGUCAAGCAUUAGGGCGAGUGUUUGGGUGUCAAACCCGCACGCGAAAUGAAAGUGAACGCAGGUGAGAGCUUCGGCGCAUCAUCGACCGAUCCUGAUGUUUUCGGAUGGAUUUGAGUAAGAGCCUUGCCGCUUGGACCCGAAAGAUGGUGAACUAUGCUUGGAUAGGGUGAAGCCAGAGGAAACUCUGGUGGAGGCUCGCAGCGGUUCUGACGUGCAAAUCGAUCGUCAAAUCUGAGCAUGGGGGCGAAAGAC
RNAcentral lists this ribosomal RNA (906 nucleotides) under Myrmecridium schulzeri. RNAcentral describes it as "eukaryotic LSU rRNA". It matches the Rfam family "Eukaryotic large subunit ribosomal RNA", at positions 1 to 931 of the family's 3401-position model. The record is from RNAcentral. Lineage: Eukaryota; Fungi; Ascomycota; Sordariomycetes; Myrmecridiales; Myrmecridiaceae.